AGUGAACGCUGGCGGUAGGCCUAACACAUGCAAGUCGAACGGCAGCACAGUAAGAGCUUGCUCUUACGGGUGGCGAGUGGCGGACGGGUGAGGAAUACAUCGGACUCUACUUUUUCGUGGGGGAUAACGUAGGGAAACUUACGCUAAUACCGCAUACGACCUACGGGUGAAAGCAGGGGAUCUUCGGACCUUGCGCGAUUGAAUGAGCCGAUGUCGGAUUAGCUAGUUGGCGGGGUAAAGGCCCACCAAGGCGACGAUCCGUAGCUGGUCUGAGAGGAUGAACAGCCACACUGGAACUGAGACAGGGUCCAGACACCUACGGGAGGCAGCAGUGGGGAAUAUUGGACAAUGGGCGCAAGCCUGAUCCAGCCAUACCGCGUGGGUGAAGAAGGCCUUCGGGUUGUAAAGCCCUUUUGUUGGGAAAGAAAAGCAGCAGGUUAAUACCCCGCUGUUAUGACGGUACCCAAAGAAUAAGCACCGGCUAACUUCGUG
RNAcentral lists this ribosomal RNA (492 nucleotides) under uncultured bacterium. RNAcentral describes it as "partial 16S ribosomal RNA". It matches the Rfam family "Bacterial small subunit ribosomal RNA", at positions 29 to 507 of the family's 1533-position model. The record is from RNAcentral.